This 203-nucleotide microRNA precursor is filed under the name Oryza barthii. Its description in RNAcentral is "MIR812 microRNA precursor family". It matches the Rfam family "MIR812 microRNA precursor family". Lineage: Eukaryota; Viridiplantae; Streptophyta; Magnoliopsida; Poales; Poaceae. The record is from Rfam by way of RNAcentral.
UAUAAGAGAUUCUGAGUUGUUGCUUGUAACGUUUGACCACUCGUCUUAUUCAAAAUUUUUUAAGAUUAUUAUUUAUUUUAUUUGUGACUUACUUUAUUAUUUACAGUAUUUUAAGCCCAACUUUUUAUUUUUUAUAUUUGUAAAAAAAAAAUUGAAUAAGACGAGUGAUCAAACGUUACAAACAAAAACUCAAAAUACUCAAA